RNAcentral lists this ribosomal RNA (999 nucleotides) under uncultured bacterium. RNAcentral's name for it is "bacterial SSU rRNA". It matches the Rfam family "Bacterial small subunit ribosomal RNA", at positions 356 to 1376 of the family's 1533-position model. The record is from RNAcentral.
GGGGAAUAUUGCACAAUGGGGGGAACCCUGAUGCAGCGACGCCGCGUGGAGGAAGAAGGUCUUCGGAUUGUAAACUCCUGUUGUUGAGGAAGAUAAUGACGGUACUUAAUGAAUAAGCUCCGGCUAACUACGUGCCAGCAGCCGCGGUAAUACGUAGGGAGCAAGCGUUGUCCGGAUUUACUGGGUGUAAAGGGUGCGUAGGCGGCUUUGCAAGUCAGAUGUGAAAUCUAUGGGCUCAACCCAUAAACUGCAUUUGAAACUGUAGAGCUUGAGUGAAGUAGAGGCAGGCGGAAUUCCCCGUGUAGCGGUGAAAUGCGUAGAGAUGGGGAGGAACACCAGUGGCGAAGGCGGCCUGCUGGGCUUUAACUGACGCUGAGGCACGAAAGCGUGGGUAGCAAACAGGAUUAGAUACCCUGGUAGUCCACGCUGUAAACGAUGAUUACUAGGUGUGGGGGGUCUGACCCCUUCCGUGCCGGAGUUAACACAAUAAGUAAUCCACCUGGGGAGUACGGCCGCAAGGUUGAAACUCAAAGGAAUUGACGGGGGCCCGCACAAGCAGUGGAGUAUGUGGUUUAAUUCGAAGCAACGCGAAGAACCUUACCAGGUCUUGACAUCCAACUAACGAAGUAGAGAUACAUUAGGUGCCCUUCGGGGAAAGUUGAGACAGGUGGUGCAUGGUUGUCGUCAGCUCGUGUCGUGAGAUGUUGGGUUAAGUCCCGCAACGAGCGCAACCCUUGCUAUUAGUUGCUACGCAAGAGCACUCUAAUAGGACUGCCGUUGACAAAACGGAGGAAGGUGGGGACGACGUCAAAUCAUCAUGCCCCUUAUGACCUGGGCUACACACGUACUACAAUGGAUGUUAACAGAGGGAAGCAAGACAGCGAUGUGGAGCAAACCCCUAAAAACAUUCUCAGUUCAGAUUGCAGGCUGCAACCCGCCUGCAUGAAGAUGGAAUUGCUAGUAAUCGCGGAUCAGCAUGCCGCGGUGAAUACGUUCCCG